RNAcentral lists this long non-coding RNA (482 nucleotides) under Pan troglodytes (chimpanzee). RNAcentral describes it as "lncRNA (ENSPTRG00000053176.1)". Lineage: Eukaryota; Metazoa; Chordata; Mammalia; Primates; Hominidae. The record is from RNAcentral.
CGCAGGCGCGGGGCGGUGCACAGCGCGGGCGCAGGCGCCGAGAGGCGCGCAGGAGACCUCAGGCCCAGGCUCCACUCCCCAGCUGUGAAAGGACUGCUGUCCAGACCCCCAAGCUAGCCCGCCAGGCCUCCAUAGAGCUGCCCAGCAUGGCUGCGUCCAGUACCAAAAGUUGGUGGGAGACGGGUGAGGUACAGGCUCAGUCUGCAGCCAAGACUCCGUCCUGCAAGGAUAUUGUGGCUGGAGACAUGAGCAAGAAAAGCCUCUGGGAGCAGAAGGGAGGCUCCAAGACCUCAUCAACAAUUAAGGAAGGAGUGAUUGGCUGCUGGUCCUGCCCUGUCCGAGGAGGAGGACGGAACCCACCCACCAAGCUAUGGAGAGGUGGACCCCACAAAUCCCCUCGCAAGCCACGUCUGAGAGCGAGCAGAGGGAAGAAACUCAAGCGUUUGUAGUCCUCUUUCUUAACAACCAGGCUUAAAGCGCCA